RNAcentral lists this ribosomal RNA (601 nucleotides) under uncultured bacterium. RNAcentral describes it as "bacterial SSU rRNA". It matches the Rfam family "Bacterial small subunit ribosomal RNA", at positions 56 to 705 of the family's 1533-position model. The record is from RNAcentral.
UGCAAGUCGAACGCACCUUCGGGUGAGUGGCGGACGGGUGAGUAACACGUGGGAACGUGCCCUUUGGUUCGGAAUAAUCCGGGGAAACCUGGCCUAAUACCGAAUGUGCCCUUCGGGGGAAAGAUUUAUCGCCAUUGGAGCGGCCCGCGUCUGAUUAGCUAGUUGGUGGGGUAAAGGCCCACCAAGGCUACGAUCAGUAGCUGGUCUGAGAGGAUGAUCAGCCACACUGGGACUGAGACACGGCCCAGACUCCUACGGGAGGCAGCAGUAGGGAAUCUUGCGCAAUGGGCGAAAGCCUGACGCAGCCAUGCCGCGUGAAUGAUGAAGGUCUUAGGAUUGUAAAAUUCUUUCAGCGGGGAAGAUAAUGACGGUACCCGCAGAAGAAGCUCCGGCUAACUUCGUGCCAGCAGCCGCGGUAAUACGAAGGGGGCUAGCGUUGCUCGGAAUUACUGGGCGUAAAGGGCGCGUAGGCGGGUGUUUAAGUCAGAGGUUAAAUCCCAGAGCUCAACUCUGGAACUGCCUUUGAUACUGGACACCUAGAGUACGGGAGAGGUGUGUGGAACUCCGAGUGUAGAGGUGAAAUUCGUAGAUAUUCGGAAGA